UGAUGUUGUCGUACGCUAAUUUUAGCUGC
This 29-nucleotide small RNA is filed under the name Bombyx mori (domestic silkworm). RNAcentral's name for it is "piRNA piR-bmo-2160986". Lineage: Eukaryota; Metazoa; Arthropoda; Insecta; Lepidoptera; Bombycidae. The record is from RNAcentral.